Molecule: non-coding RNA, 435 nt
Organism: Paramuricea clavata
Lineage: Eukaryota; Metazoa; Cnidaria; Anthozoa; Malacalcyonacea; Plexauridae
Source: the annotation of a GenBank genome assembly
CUAUUUAUUUAUUUAUUUAUUUAUUUAUUUAUAUGAAUUCAUUUAUUUAUUUACUUCAAUAUAUUUUAUAAUUAACAACAUUGUUCCCAUUUAGGUCAAUCAACUAAUACCUACGCUCUAAUUCUCAAUCAGAAAAAAUCAAAUAUUGCCAAAUUUAUAAUUAGACCAAGGCUUCCAGUCCCCCGCGAAAAAUUAAUAUCCGUAUUAGUUGCUCAAAAGGCAGGGUACCAUGGGGUGCCACCCACUCAUUGUAGCUGGUUUUAGUUUGUUCAGUAGAUUUAGUAAAUCCCUCCAUCCCUGCGUCUUCGUCCUCAACUCCUUCUUCGCCUUCUCCUUCGUCGUCUUCUUCGAAUUCGUCCUCAACUUCUUCCUUCAUUUCAUCAUCUUCAACAAUCUUAAGAUCUAACUCUUCAACACUUUCUUCUGCGAUGUACU